This 450-nucleotide ribosomal RNA is filed under the name uncultured Glomus. RNAcentral describes it as "SSU rRNA". It matches the Rfam family "Eukaryotic small subunit ribosomal RNA", at positions 569 to 1025 of the family's 1831-position model. Lineage: Eukaryota; Fungi; Glomeromycota; Glomeromycetes; Glomerales; Glomeraceae. The record is from RNAcentral.
AGCAGCCGCGGUAAUUCCAGCUCCAAUAGCGUAUAUUAAAGUUGUUGCAGUUAAAAAGCUCGUAGUUGAAUUUCGAGACCGGCUUAUUGGUCGUGCUUUUGUACGUACUGGUAUAAUCGGUUUCUCCUUUCUGACGAACUAUAAUGCCAUUAAUUUGGUGUUAUAGGGAAUCAGGACUGUUACUUUGAAAAAUUAGAGUGUUUAAAGCAGGCUCACGCUUGAAUACAUUAGCAUGGAAUAACGGAAUAGGACGUUUGAUUCUAUUUUGUUGGUUUCUAGGAUCGACGUAAUGAUUAAUAGGGAUAGUUGGGGGCAUUAGUAUUCAAUUGUCAGAGGUGAAAUUCUUGGAUUUAUUGAAGACUAACUACUGCGAAAGCAUUUGCCAAGGAUGUUUUCAUUAAUCAAGAACGAAAGUUAGGGGAUCGAAGACGAUCAGAUACCGUCGUAGUC